RNAcentral lists this ribosomal RNA (904 nucleotides) under uncultured bacterium. RNAcentral's name for it is "bacterial SSU rRNA". It matches the Rfam family "Bacterial small subunit ribosomal RNA", at positions 8 to 917 of the family's 1533-position model. The record is from RNAcentral.
AGAGUUUGAUCCUGGCUCAGAACGAACGCUGGCGGCGUGGAUAAGACAUGCAAGUCGAACGGAGUUGUUUGUGUAGCAAUACAUCGACAACCUAGUGGCGAACGGGUGCGUAACACGUGAGCAAUCUGCCGGGAAGUGGGGGAUAGCUCGCCGAAAGGCGAAUUAAUACCGCAUGUGGCCAGAGGGGACAUCCCUUCGACGCCAAAGUCGCAAGACGCUUCCUGGUGAACUCGCGGCCUAUCAGCUUGUUGGUGAGGUAACGGCUCACCAAGGCUAUGACGGGUAGCUGGUCUGAGAGGACGACCAGCCACACUGGAACUGAGACACGGUCCAGACACCUACGGGUGGCAGCAGUCGAGAAUUUUUCACAAUGGGGGAAACCCUGAUGGAGCGACGCCGCGUGGAGGAUGAAGGUCUUCGGAUUGUAAACUCCUGUCAUGCGAGAACAAGAAAGUGAUAGUAUCGCAAGAGGAAGAGACGGCUAACUCUGUGCCAGCAGCCGCGGUAAUACAGAGGUCUCAAGCGUUGUUCGGAUUCAUUGGGCGUAAAGGGUGCGUAGGCGGCGUGGUAAGUUGAGUGUGAAAUCCUAGGGCUUAACCUUAGAACUGCACUCAAUACUGCCAUGCUAGAGGAAUGUAGAGGAGAGUGGAAUUCACGGUGUAGCAGUGAAAUGCGUAGAUAUCGUGAGGAAGACCAGUUGCGAAGGCGACUCUCUGGGCAUUUCCUGACGCUGAGGCACGAAGGCCAGGGGAGCAAACGGGAUUAGAUACCCCGGUAGUCCUGGCAGUAAACGGUGCACGUUUGGUGUGGGCGGGUUCAGACCCCGUCCGUGCCGGAGCUAACGCGUUAAACGUGCCGCCUGGGAAGUACGGUCGCAAGAUUAAAACUCAAAGGAAUUGACGGG